Molecule: long non-coding RNA, 1186 nt
Filed under: Monodelphis domestica (gray short-tailed opossum)
Lineage: Eukaryota; Metazoa; Chordata; Mammalia; Didelphimorphia; Didelphidae
Description: lncRNA (ENSMODG00000033682.2)
Source: RNAcentral
AAAAUAGACUCAAAUACAGGACUACAAUCCCCACAAGCCUUUGCUCUACUUCCCCAAAAUGCUUUGUAAUCUCACGGGAAUUCUGAGGUGGGCCGAGAUCGAGGAAGGAUUUAAGCUGGUGGCAAAGGUUUUUGGGUCUCUUUUGGACUUCCGUUUUGGAGCAGAUGCAUCUCUUCCAUGAGAAGAGGUUGUUUUUUCUAGGCCUCUGGCCUAGGCACAUGUUUCUUACUUGUAUUUUCUUUCAUCUUUAAUCCUUAAUAAACCUCUAAAAAAUAUCAUACUCCUUGCAGAGAGAAACUAAUUUCUACCUGCCUCAGUCUCCCCAUAGUCCUAAAUUUUAACUGUUACAGAUGGCGACCACUAGAUUGGAUGAGAACUUCUCAAAUUUUUUAGCCUAGAGAAUGAUUUUUUUAAGCCAGUUUCUCCAAGAUGCCUUUUUAGAAAACUAUCUUGAUCAGCUCCUGCCUGCGGCCCUCCCCAGCUCCUGCUUCUGAUCCUGGCCUCUCACCUGGUGCCCGAGCUCCCUGCUCUACCCACCCCAGCAGUCUGUCUCUCACCCAUCUGGCCUCCAACACAGACGGCUCAUCACCCCAGACCCAGACCCAUGAGCGUGACCCCAGCUGGCUCAUCAACCAGAUCCUUGGAGCAGCGACCAGCUGGUAACAAUAUUGGCCACGUGGGCGAAGGGGAGAGACAAGAGGGAAAGGAGAACAGAUGAGAAACCAAGACCGAGAAAAAGAGGAAGACUUGCCCAAGGUCUCACAACCAGUAAACGUCCCAACCAGAACCAAGCCCGGCUGCUCUGACUCCUAAUCCAAGAUUCUCUCCCCUCCUCUACUGCCUCUCCUAGCCCAGUUGCCUACAGCCCAGCAGCAUGGAUGGAAGCCCCCACUAGAACUCGGCGCAUCGCCGCUUAGAAUCCAGGAAUACUUUCCGUCCGUUGGCUCCCUGUUCAAACUGUGGACCACACAAAAGACGUUUGAAAGAAAAUCCACUUCAGCAUGGGAGGAAUCCACAGGAUGGGGAGAGACCCAAAUAGCUAUUCUUUGUCAUUGAUGUGAAUUCAACUCUGCUGCACACCGCGCUUCGGUAUUCAUCUGGAAGAGCCGCCCCGCGAAUGCCAACGUGGCCUCAAAGAAUUUCAGAGCGAGACACAAACUCCUCUGAAUGCACCUUCUAAAUUUAC